CUGGUUUCUCUUCAGAUCGUAUAAAUCUUUUGCCUUUUACUAAAGAUUUCCAUGGAGAGGAACAAGUUAG
Molecule: small nuclear RNA, 70 nt
Filed under: Nipponia nippon (crested ibis)
Lineage: Eukaryota; Metazoa; Chordata; Aves; Pelecaniformes; Threskiornithidae
Description: U5 spliceosomal RNA
Rfam family: U5 spliceosomal RNA
About the family: U5 RNA is a component of both types of known spliceosome. The precise function of this molecule is unknown, though it is known that the 5' loop is required for splice site selection and p220 binding, and that both the 3' stem-loop and the Sm site are important for Sm protein binding and cap methylation.
Source: Rfam by way of RNAcentral